Molecule: long non-coding RNA, 234 nt
Filed under: Setaria viridis
Lineage: Eukaryota; Viridiplantae; Streptophyta; Magnoliopsida; Poales; Poaceae
Description: long non-coding RNA (SVIR_LNC004259)
Source: RNAcentral
AAACAUCCACGCUUUCUCUACUUAUAAAUGCCAGCCUUGGUCUCGCUCUUGAGAGCGCCUGUUCUACUUGACUCCUUUUUCCCUGACUUGUUUCCGUCGGAGCGUUCUGCGGUCAUGUCUUCUUCAUCUUCUUCUUUUUCCUCUGUUGACCAGGUAAGAGAUCUGCCUCCGCCUUCUUUUAGUUCGAUUCCCCUAAAACACUUCAUCUUAGGAGGUUAUAUGUUGUCUCUUUUC